AAGCAAGAACGAGAAGGUGAAGAUGCUCUUGUUCGUAGCACGAAGAAGAAGAAGGUAAUUCUCUCUGGUUCCCCUAGCUGCUUUUGUUUUGGCAAAGUCAGACGGGUAAUUCUCCGUCGUGACAUUGCCCUUAAGAUAAAAGAUCUGAAUGGUAGGUUAAGUGCGAUUGAUGAGCAAAGAAAAAGGUAUGAGUUUCAACACAUAUAAAGAGGUAUUCAAGAUUUACCUGAAUGGCAGAAGACUUCGUCUUUUGUCGUCAUGUCAGAGGUAUUUGGUCGAGAAAAGGAAAAAGACAUUCUGAUAACAAAGUUAUUGAGUGAUGGUGGAAAAGAUCAGAGGGGACUCCUUAUCAUCCCUAUUCUAG
RNAcentral lists this long non-coding RNA (364 nucleotides) under Malus domestica (apple). RNAcentral's name for it is "long non-coding RNA (MDOM_LNC014452)". The record is from RNAcentral. Lineage: Eukaryota; Viridiplantae; Streptophyta; Magnoliopsida; Rosales; Rosaceae.